UGGGGAAUUUUGGACAAUGGGGGCAACCCUGAUCCAGCAAUGCCGCGUGAGUGAAGAAGACCUUCGGGUUGUAAAGCUCUUUUGUCAGGGAAGAAACGGUAGUAGCGAAUAACUAUUACUAAUGACGGUACCUGAAGAAUAAGCACCGGCUAACUACGUGCCAGCAGCCGCGGUAAUACGUAGGGUGCAAGCGUUAAUCGGAAUUACUGGGCGUAAAGCGUGCGCAGGCGGUUGUGUAAGUCAGAUGUGAAAUCCCCGGGCUCAACCUGGGAAUUGCAUUUGAGACUGCACGGCUAGAGUGUGUCAGAGGGGGGUAGAAUUCCACGUGUAGCAGUGAAAUGCGUAGAUAUGUGGAGGAAUACCGAUGGCGAAGGCAGCCCCCUGGGAUAACACUGACGCUCAUGCACGAAAGCGUGGGAGCAAACAGGAUUAGAUACCCUGGUAGUCCCUGAGCGGGCUGGCAAGGCGCAU
RNAcentral lists this ribosomal RNA (471 nucleotides) under uncultured bacterium. RNAcentral's name for it is "bacterial SSU rRNA". It matches the Rfam family "Bacterial small subunit ribosomal RNA", at positions 355 to 825 of the family's 1533-position model. The record is from RNAcentral.